UCGGUCGUGCAAAACCUUUAUCAGUCAACUCCUGCAACUGUGCUUUCAAUUCUUUUAAUUCGGUCGGUGCCAUACGGUACGGAGCUAUCGAAAUUGGAUUCGUCCCCGGUAUUAACUCAAUACCAAACUCUACUUCUCGAAUAGGUGGUAAACCCGGUAAGUCUUCAGGGAACACAUUUGGAUACUCACAUACAACAGGUACUGAUUCAAUCUUCUUUUCUAUCACUUUACUAUCAAGAACAUAUGCAAAAUAAGCUUCACAACCUUUUCUCACAUACUUCUGAGCCAACAUAGAGGAUAUCACUGCCAAUAAACCAUUCAGAUCAUUAGAUUCAAUCCGAAUAAUCUCGUCAUUCAGG
Molecule: long non-coding RNA, 359 nt
Filed under: Gossypium barbadense (sea-island cotton)
Lineage: Eukaryota; Viridiplantae; Streptophyta; Magnoliopsida; Malvales; Malvaceae
Description: long non-coding RNA (GBAR_LNC018019)
Source: RNAcentral